CCGCGGUAAUACGUAGGGGUCGAGCGUUGUCCGGAGUUACUGGGCGUAAAGCGCGCGUAGGCGGUUUGGUAAGUGUGAUGUGAAAGCCCCGGGCUCAACCUGGGAAUUGCCUCACAUACUGCCAGGCUAGAGUACGGUAGAGGGGGGUAGAAUUCCACGUGUAGCGGUGAAAUGCGUAGAGAUGUGGAGGAAUACCAGUGGCGAAGGCGGCCCCCUGGAUCGAUACUGACGCUGAGGUGCGAAAGCGUGGGGAGCAAACAGG
This 262-nucleotide ribosomal RNA is filed under the name uncultured bacterium. RNAcentral describes it as "partial 16S ribosomal RNA". It matches the Rfam family "Bacterial small subunit ribosomal RNA", at positions 515 to 776 of the family's 1533-position model. The record is from RNAcentral.